CCCUUAGAUGUUCUGGGCCGCACGCGCGCUACACUGAUUCAUGCAACGAGUAUUAAUUCCUUGGCUGAAAGGCCUGGGUAAUCUUUGAACGUGAAUCGUGCUGGGGAUAGAUGAUUGCAAUUAUUAAUCUUCAACGAGGAAUGCCUAGUAGGCGCAAGUCAUCAGCUUGCGUCGAUUACGUCCCUGCCCUUUGUACACACCGCCCGUCGCUCCUACCGAUUGGGUGUGCUGGUGAAAUGUUCGGAUCGGCCGUUUGUCGCGGUUUCCGCGUCAUGUGGCUGAGAAGUUCAUUAAACCCUCCCACCUAGAGGAAGGAGAAGUCGUAACA
Molecule: ribosomal RNA, 328 nt
Filed under: uncultured eukaryote
Lineage: Eukaryota
Description: partial 18S ribosomal RNA
Rfam family: Eukaryotic small subunit ribosomal RNA
Source: RNAcentral